UUCUGGCUCAGGAUGAACGCUAGCUACAGGCUUAACACAUGCAAGUCGAGGGGCAGCGGGAAGUUAGCUUGCUAACUUGCCGGCGACCGGCGCACGGGUGAGUAACGCGUAUCCAACCUUCCCCUUAGUAGGGCAUAGCCCGUAGAAAUGCGGAUUAAUACCCUAUGUUAUUCGUCGAGGACAUCUGAAGUGAAUCAAAGGUUUACCGCUAAGGGAUGGGGAUGCGUCUGAUUAGGCAGCAGGCGGGGUAACGGCCCACCUGGCCGACGAUCAGUAGGGGUUCUGAGAGGAAGGUCCCCCACAUUGGAACUGAGACACGGUCCAAACUCCUACGGGAGGCAGCAGUGAGGAAUAUUGGUCAAUGGUCGAGAGACUGAACCAGCCAAGUAAGCGUGCAGGACGACGGCCCUAUGGGUUGUAAACUGCUUUUAUGCGGGGAUAAAGUGAGGGACGUGUCCCUUUUUGUAGGUACCGCAUGAAUAAGGACCGGCUAAUUCCGUGCCAGCCGCCGC
RNAcentral lists this ribosomal RNA (512 nucleotides) under uncultured bacterium. RNAcentral's name for it is "bacterial SSU rRNA". It matches the Rfam family "Bacterial small subunit ribosomal RNA", at positions 17 to 518 of the family's 1533-position model. The record is from RNAcentral.